Molecule: transfer RNA, 72 nt
Filed under: Phormidium sp.
Lineage: Bacteria; Bacillati; Cyanobacteriota; Cyanophyceae; Oscillatoriales; Oscillatoriaceae
Also listed under: 12 other names
Description: tRNA-Lys
Rfam family: tRNA
About the family: Transfer RNA (tRNA) molecules are approximately 80 nucleotides in length. Their secondary structure includes four short double-helical elements and three loops (D, anti-codon, and T loops).
Source: RNAcentral
GGGCGACUAGCUCAAUGGUAGAGCAGCAGACUCUUAAUCUGGUGGUUCAGGGUUCGAGCCCCUGGUCGCCCA